GAAGAAAGGAUUCAUGUUGCCAUGAAGCUAACACACGACGCAAAGCAAACACAUACGAUGCUGGCGAAAGGGAAUCCGGUUACCCAUUCCGGAGCCUGUUGAGUACCCGUUCUGCGCUGGCGUAGGCAUUCGCACCGUCGUAUGUGUUUGCUUUGCGUCGUGUGUUAGCUUCAUGGCAACAUGAAUCCUUUCUUCGAGAAGCCAACGAGGGGCAUCGGAAGAGUUUUCUUUUCUGUUUUACAGCCACCACCGACCAUGGAAGUCACUCACAGAGAGAUAUGGUUGGACGCGCUGGUAGAGCACGGCCGUCGCCACUGCCGUGUCGAUGCACUCUUCUUGGACCAUGAAAAUCGAAGACUGGGGCACACUCCAUUUGUUGAUGCGUUAGUAACGUUUUACAACCCCGUUUGUAAAUAUGCACUCUCAACAGCUUGUACCGAAUCCGCAGCAGGUCUCCAAGGUGCAGAGCCUCU
RNAcentral lists this ribosomal RNA (473 nucleotides) under Anopheles funestus (African malaria mosquito). Its description in RNAcentral is "eukaryotic large subunit ribosomal RNA". It matches the Rfam family "Eukaryotic large subunit ribosomal RNA", at positions 1558 to 1884 of the family's 3401-position model. Lineage: Eukaryota; Metazoa; Arthropoda; Insecta; Diptera; Culicidae. The record is from RNAcentral.